Molecule: ribosomal RNA, 484 nt
Filed under: uncultured bacterium
Lineage: Bacteria
Description: partial 16S ribosomal RNA
Rfam family: Bacterial small subunit ribosomal RNA
Source: RNAcentral
AUUGAACGCUGGCGGCAGGCCUAACACAUGCAAGUCGAGCGGAUGAAGGGAGCUUGCUCCUGGAUUCAGCGGCGGACGGGUGAGUAAUGCAUAGGAAUCUGCCUGGUAGUGGGGGAUAACGUCCGGAAACGGGCGCUAAUACCGCAUACGUCCUGAGGGUGAAAGUGGGGGUUCUUCGGACCUCACGCUAUCAGAUGAGCCUAGGUCGGAUUAGCUAGUUGGUGGGGUAAAGGCCUACCAAGGCGACGAUCCGUAACUGGUCUGAGAGGAUGAUCAGUCACACUGGAACUGAGACACGGUCCAGACUCCUACGGGAGGCAGCAGUGGGGAAUAUUGGACAAUGGGCGAAAGCCUGAUCCAGCCAUGCCGCGUGUGUGAAGAAGGUCUUCGGAUUGUAAAGCACUUUAAGUUGGGAGGAAGGGCAGUAAGUUAAUACCUUGCUGUUUUGACGUUACCAACAGAAUAAGCACCGGCUAACUACGUG